This 483-nucleotide ribosomal RNA is filed under the name uncultured bacterium. Its description in RNAcentral is "partial 16S ribosomal RNA". It matches the Rfam family "Bacterial small subunit ribosomal RNA", at positions 30 to 506 of the family's 1533-position model. The record is from RNAcentral.
AUUGAACGCUGGCGGCAGGCCUAACACAUGCAAGUCGAGCGGAUGAAGGGAGCUUGCUCCUGGAUUCAGCGGCGGACGGGUGAGUAAUGCCUAGGAAUCUGCCUGGUAGUGGGGGAUAACGUCCGGAAACGGGCGCUAAUACCGCAUACGUCCUGCGGGAGAAAGUGGGGGAUCUUCGGACCUCACGCUAUCAGAUGAGCCUAGGUCGGAUUAGCUAGUUGGUGGGGUAAAGGCCUACCAAGGCGACGAUCCGUAACUGGUCUGAGAGGAUGAUCAGUCACACUGGAACUGAGACACGGUCCAGACUCCUACGGGAGGCAGCAGUGGGGAAUAGUGGACAAUGGGCGAAAGCCUGAUCCAGCCAUGCAGCGUGUGUGAAGAAGGGCUUCGGAUGGUAAAGCACUUUAAGUUGGGAGGAAGGGCAGUAAGUUAAUACCUUGCUGUUUUGACGUUACCAACAGAAUAAGCACCGGCUAACUUCGU